This is a long non-coding RNA of Anopheles merus, 311 nucleotides long. RefSeq lists it as uncharacterized. The transcript is spliced from 3 exons. The record is from RefSeq and is a predicted model, not a curated record. Lineage: Eukaryota; Metazoa; Arthropoda; Insecta; Diptera; Culicidae.
UUCUUCAGUUAUGGAAUGUUUUAUCCUAGCAAAUUGUUGAGGUGUGUGCGCUAUUUAUCAAAGACUACAUGCUGGCCUCGUCAACAAUGUUCAAAGUGAGCGACGGAAAGAAAACGUUUUUCAGUUUUAAAAUAUUAAGCGUUCAGCACAACACUGCCACAAACCAACGCACUGGAUUAAGCCAAGAACCUGUCGAAACGCGCGCAGCCCAGCGUCAUUACUUAACAGAAGCUGGUUCAAAACGCGCAGCUCCUGUUCAUGACGUCAUCACUAAACUGAAGCCAGUGGAACACGCGCAGCACGGAUGGUAC